UAGACGAAGCACCCGCACUGAGAGGCCCAAACCAAGCUGAAGAAUUCCAAGGUCCUGAGCAAGAGGAGCCUGGUGAUUUCGAAAGCGAAUCGCAAUCCGAUGAAGACGGUUCAGAAUACUUCAAGAAAUAGACAUCACCCUCCACGCCUACACAUCACGAGAAUGGGUGUUAAUUAGAUAAAAACCACUUUUGAUUCUUUAAUAAAUAAAUAAUGGUUAAGUUUCUUCAAUCUUUCUAUCCAAAAUGUUAAAUCUAAAUUAGCUGGCAAUAAAAAAUAUCGCAAA
Molecule: long non-coding RNA, 285 nt
Organism: Physella acuta
Lineage: Eukaryota; Metazoa; Mollusca; Gastropoda; Physidae
Source: RefSeq, a predicted model, not a curated record